AGUGAACGCUGGCGGUAGGCCUAACACAUGCAAGUCGAACGGCAGCACAGUAAGCGCUUGCUCCUACGGGUGGCGAGUGGCGGACGGGUGAGGAAUACAUCGGCAUCUACUUUUUCGUGGGGGAUAACGUAGGGAAACUUACGCUAAUACCGCAUACGACCUACGGGUGAAAGCAGGGGAUCUUCGGACCUUGCGCGAUUGAAUGAGCCGAUGUCGGAUUAGCUAGUUGGCGGGGUAAAGGCCCACCAAGGCGACGCUCCGUAGCUGGUCUGAGAGGAUGAUCAGCCACACUGGAACUGAGACACGGUCCAGACUCCUACGGGAGGCAGCAGUGGGGAAUAUUGGACAAUGGGCGCAAGCCUGAUCCAGCCAUACCGCGUGGGUGAAGAAGGCCUUCGGGUUGUAAAGCCCUUUUGUUGGGAAAGAAAAGCAGCAGGUUAAUACCCCGCUGUUCUGACGGUACCCAAAGAAUAAGCACCGGCUAACUUCGUG
This 492-nucleotide ribosomal RNA is filed under the name uncultured bacterium. Its description in RNAcentral is "partial 16S ribosomal RNA". It matches the Rfam family "Bacterial small subunit ribosomal RNA", at positions 29 to 507 of the family's 1533-position model. The record is from RNAcentral.